GUUUCACUUUCAAACAGAUGUAAUUUACCGUAAAUAAUUGUAUCUUAAUCUCUAAAUUUAACUUUAAUCACAUACAGGAGGCUCUUGCAGGGUCUAGCAAGCUAUUAACAUAGCAGGGGAUAAGAAAAUCUUAAUUAAACAGAACUUGCAAUAAAGAAAGCCUAAAUAGGGCUCUCUUUACAGGAAGUGUUUAUGGAAGGCUGUGCAAGUCACAUGCAGGGAGGUGUGACUAGGGUUCAUAAACAAAGGGACUUAAUUCCUAAAUGGCAGAGGAUUGAGCAGUGAGGC
Molecule: non-coding RNA, 288 nt
Organism: Pelobates cultripes (western spadefoot toad)
Lineage: Eukaryota; Metazoa; Chordata; Amphibia; Anura; Pelobatidae
Source: the annotation of a GenBank genome assembly